UAAAAACCUCGGUGAGCUCAGAUGAGGAC
Molecule: non-coding RNA, 29 nt
Filed under: Mus musculus (house mouse)
Lineage: Eukaryota; Metazoa; Chordata; Mammalia; Rodentia; Muridae
Source: RNAcentral